RNAcentral lists this ribosomal RNA (1386 nucleotides) under uncultured bacterium. Its description in RNAcentral is "bacterial SSU rRNA". It matches the Rfam family "Bacterial small subunit ribosomal RNA". The record is from RNAcentral.
GAGUUUGAUCCUGGCUCAGGAUGAACGCUAGCGGGAGGCUUAACACAUGCAAGUCGAGCGGCAGCACGGGCUUCGGUCUGGUGGCGAGCGGCGCACGGGUGCGUAACGCGUAUGCAACCUGCCUUAUGCAGGGGGAUAGCCCAUGGAAACGUGGAUUAAUACCCCAUAAUAUUAUUUAUUCGCAUGGAUUAAUAAUAAAAACUCUGGUGGCAUAAGAUGGGCAUGCGUCUGAUUAGCUAGUUGGUGAGGUAACGGCUCACCAAGGCGACGAUCAGUAGGGGUUCUGAGAGGAUUAUCCCCCACACUGGUACUGAGACACGGACCAGACUCCUACGGGAGGCAGCAGUGAGGAAUAUUGGUCAAUGGGCGCGAGCCUGAACCAGCCAUCCCGCGUGCAGGAUGACGGCCCUAUGGGUUGUAAACUGCUUUUCUACGCCAAGAAAUGACCGUUCGUGAACGGUUUUGCCGGUAGCGUAGGAAUAAGCAUCGGCUAACUCCGCGCCAGCAGCCGCGGUAAUACGGAGGAUGCAAGCGUUAUCCGGAUUUAUUGGGUUUAAAGGGUGCGCAGGCGGGCUUGUAAGUCAGCGGUGAAAACCUGUCGCUUAACGACAGGCUUGCCAUUGAUACUGCUUGUCUGAGUUGGGUUGAGGUAUGCGGAAUGUGCAGUGUAGCGGUGACAUGCAUAGAUAGUGCACAGAACACCAAUUGCGAAGGCAGCAUACUAAGCCAAAACUGACGCUGAGGCACGAAAGCGUGGGUAGCGAACAGGAUUAGAUACCCUGGUAGUCCACGCCGUAAACGAUGUUCACUCGCUGUUUGCGAUAUACAGUAAGCGGCUUAGCGAAAGCAUUAAGUGAACCACCUGGGGAGUACGAUCGCAAGGUUGAAACUCAAAGGAAUUGACGGGGGCCCGCACAAGCGGAGGAACAUGUGGUUUAAUUCGAUGAUACGCGAGGAACCUUACCUGGGCUUAAAUGUAGAGUGCAUGCGGUGGAAACACCCUUCCCUUCGGGGCUCUCUGCAAGGUGCUGCAUGGUUGUCGUCAGCUCGUGCCGUGAGGUGUCGGGUUAAGUCCCAUAACGAGCGCAACCCUUACCGUUAGUUGCCAACAGGUCAAGCUGGGGACUCUAGCGGGACUGCCACCGUAAGGUGAGAGGAAGGUGGGGAUGACGUCAAAUCAGCACGGCCCUUAUGUCCAGGGCUACACACGUGUUACAAUGGCCGGUACAGAGGGCAGCUACUCCGCGAGGAGAUGCUAAUCUUAAAAGCCGGUCUCAGUUCGGAUUGGAGUCUGCAACCCGACUCCAUGAAGUUGGAUUCGCUAGUAAUCGCGCAUCAGCCAUGGCGCGGUGAAUACGUUCCCGGGCCUUGUACACACCGCCCGUC